RNAcentral lists this ribosomal RNA (207 nucleotides) under uncultured bacterium. RNAcentral's name for it is "partial 16S ribosomal RNA". It matches the Rfam family "Bacterial small subunit ribosomal RNA", at positions 568 to 774 of the family's 1533-position model. The record is from RNAcentral.
CGCGUAGGCGGCUGUUCAAGUCAGUAGUGGAAGUCCAGCUUUUAAGGUUGGAAGUGCUAUUGAAACUGAACAGCUUGAGUGCAGGAGAGGUUAUCGGAAUUCCCGGUGUAGCGGUGAAAUGCGUAGAGAUCGGGAGGAACACCAGUGGCGAAGGCGGGUAACUGGACUGCAACUGACGCUGAGGCGCGAAAGUGUGGGGAGCAAACA